This 1571-nucleotide ribosomal RNA is filed under the name Ligilactobacillus ruminis. RNAcentral's name for it is "Lactobacillus ruminis 16S ribosomal RNA". It matches the Rfam family "Bacterial small subunit ribosomal RNA". The record is from RNAcentral. Lineage: Bacteria; Bacillati; Bacillota; Bacilli; Lactobacillales; Lactobacillaceae.
UAAAUUGAGAGUUUGAUCCUGGCUCAGGACGAACGCUGGCGGCGUGCCUAAUACAUGCAAGUCGAACGAAGCUUUCUUUCACCGAAUGCUUGCAUUCACCGAAAGAAGCUUAGUGGCGAACGGGUGAGUAACACGUAGGCAACCUGCCCAAAAGAGGGGGAUAACACUUGGAAACAGGUGCUAAUACCGCAUAACCAUGAACACCGCAUGAUGUUCAUGUAAAAGACGGCUUUUGCUGUCGCUUUUGGAUGGGCCUGCGGCGUAUUAACUUGUUGGUGGGGUAACGGCCUACCAAGGUGAUGAUACGUAGCCGAACUGAGAGGUUGAUCGGCCACAUUGGGACUGAGACACGGCCCAAACUCCUACGGGAGGCAGCAGUAGGGAAUCUUCCACAAUGGACGAAAGUCUGAUGGAGCAACGCCGCGUGAAUGAAGAAGGCCUUCGGGUCGUAAAAUUCUGUUGUCAGAGAAGAACGUGCGUGAGAGUAACUGUUCACGUAUUGACGGUAUCUGACCAGAAAGCCACGGCUAACUACGUGCCAGCAGCCGCGGUAAUACGUAGGUGGCGAGCGUUGUCCGGAUUUAUUGGGCGUAAAGGGAACGCAGGCGGUCUUUUAAGUCUGAUGUGAAAGCCUUCGGCUUAACCGAAGUAGUGCAUUGGAAACUGGAAGACUUGAGUGCAGAAGAGGAGAGUGGAACUCCAUGUGUAGCGGUGAAAUGCGUAGAUAUAUGGAAGAACACCAGUGGCGAAAGCGGCUCUCUGGUCUGUAACUGACGCUGAGGUUCGAAAGCGUGGGUAGCAAACAGGAUUAGAUACCCUGGUAGUCCACGCCGUAAACGAUGAGUGCUAAGUGUUGGAGGGUUUCCGCCCUUCAGUGCUGCAGCUAACGCAUUAAGCACUCCGCCUGGGGAGUACGGUCGCAAGACUGAAACUCAAAGGAAUUGACGGGGGCCCGCACAAGCGGUGGAGCAUGUGGUUUAAUUCGAAGCAACGCGAAGAACCUUACCAGGUCUUGACAUCUUCUGACAAUUCCAGAGAUGGAACGUUCCCUUCGGGGACAGAAUGACAGGUGGUGCAUGGUUGUCGUCAGCUCGUGUCGUGAGAUGUUGGGUUAAGUCCCGCAACGAGCGCAACCCUUAUUGUCAGUUGCCAUCAUUAAGUUGGGCACUCUGGCGAGACUGCCGGUGACAAACCGGAGGAAGGUGGGGAUGACGUCAAAUCAUCAUGCCCCUUAUGACCUGGGCUACACACGUGCUACAAUGGACGGUACAACGAGUCGCUAACUCGCGAGGGCAAGCUAAUCUCUUAAAGCCGUUCUCAGUUCGGAUUGCAGGCUGCAACUCGCCUGCAUGAAGUCGGAAUCGCUAGUAAUCGCGAAUCAGCAUGUCGCGGUGAAUACGUUCCCGGGCCUUGUACACACCGCCCGUCACACCAUGAGAGUUUGUAACACCCAAAGUCGGUGGGGUAACCUUUUGGAGCCAGCCGCCUAAGGUGGGACAGAUGAUUGGGGUGAAGUCGUAACAAGGUAGCCGUAGGAGAACCUGCGGCUGGAUCACCUCCUUUCUAAGGAA